UGCGUACUCCCUCCGUUCGAAAUUACUCGUCGCAGAAAUGGAUAUAUUUAUACGUAUUUUAGUUUUAGAUACAUCCAUAUCCGAGACAAGUAAUCCCGAACGAAGGGAGUACGUA
Molecule: non-coding RNA, 115 nt
Organism: Triticum aestivum (bread wheat)
Lineage: Eukaryota; Viridiplantae; Streptophyta; Magnoliopsida; Poales; Poaceae
Source: Rfam